This 73-nucleotide transfer RNA is filed under the name Anaerolineae bacterium. Its description in RNAcentral is "tRNA-Arg". It matches the Rfam family "tRNA". Rfam says of the family: Transfer RNA (tRNA) molecules are approximately 80 nucleotides in length. Their secondary structure includes four short double-helical elements and three loops (D, anti-codon, and T loops). The record is from RNAcentral. RNAcentral also lists the same sequence under 1 other name. Lineage: Bacteria; Bacillati; Chloroflexota; Anaerolineae.
GCCCUCGUAGCUCAGGGGAUAGAGCAGCUGUCUUCUAAACAGCGGGUCGCGGGUUCGAGUCCUGCCGGGGGUA